GUGAGGAAUAUUGAGCAAUGGGCGCAAGCCUGACUCAGCAACGCCGCGUGGAUGACGAAGGCCUUCGGGUUGUAAAAUCCUUUUCUGAGGGAAGAUGAUGACGGUACCUCAGGAAUAAGUUCCGGCUAACUACGUGCCAGCAGCCGCGGUAAAACGUAGGGGACAAGCGUUAUCCGGAUUUACUGGGCGUAAAGCGCAUGUAGGUGGCUUGAAAAGUUGGACGUGAAAGCUCCCGGCUUAACUGGGAGAGGUCGUACAAAACUAGCAAGCUAGAGGUUGGAAGAGGAGAGCGGAAUUCCCGGUGUAGUGGUGGAAUGCGUAGAUAUCGGGAGGAACACCAGUGGCGAAAGCGGCUCUCUGGUUCAAAACUGACACUGAGAUGCGAAAGCGUGGGGAGCGAACGGGAUUAGAUACCCCGGUAGUCC
RNAcentral lists this ribosomal RNA (425 nucleotides) under uncultured bacterium. Its description in RNAcentral is "bacterial SSU rRNA". It matches the Rfam family "Bacterial small subunit ribosomal RNA", at positions 354 to 796 of the family's 1533-position model. The record is from RNAcentral.